UACGAAGGGUGCAAGCGUUACUCGGAAUUACUGGGCGUAAAGCGUGCGUAGGUGGUUCGUUAAGUCUGUCGUGAAAGCCCCGGGCUUAACCUGGGAAUGGCGGUUGAAACUAGUCGACUAGAAUCUGGCAGAGGGGGGUGGAAUUCCACGUGUAGCAGUGAAAUGCGUAGAGAUGUGGAGGAACACCGAUGGCGAAGGCAGCCCCCUGGGCUGAGAUUGACGCUCAGGCACGAAAGCGUGGGGAGCAAACAGG
Molecule: ribosomal RNA, 253 nt
Filed under: uncultured bacterium
Lineage: Bacteria
Description: partial 16S ribosomal RNA
Rfam family: Bacterial small subunit ribosomal RNA
Source: RNAcentral